Molecule: ribosomal RNA, 307 nt
Filed under: Baeothele saukros
Lineage: Eukaryota; Metazoa; Onychophora; Udeonychophora; Euonychophora; Peripatopsidae
Description: partial 12S ribosomal RNA
Source: RNAcentral
UUCUAAAGUAGUAAUUUAGAAACUUAAAGUUUUGACGGUAUUUAAUUUUCCAGAGGAAUAUGUAAUUUAAUCGUCAAUUCACGAUAAUUUUACUUAUUUUGUUUUUGUAUAUCUCCGUUAAUAGAUUUUAUUAAAAAUUUUUAAAAAUUUCUAGGAAAAUAAUUUUAUUAUUUCAGGUCAAGGUGCAGAAUAAAUAAGAUAUUAUGUAUUACAAUCAAAGUAUUUGAAUUGAAUAAAUGUUGAAAUAUUUUUGAAAAUGAAUCUGUAAGUAAAUUAUUAUUAAAUUUUAGUAGAAAUAAUAUUAAAU